UUAUCGCUAUGCCGUAAGGCAGAGAGGAAAGUCCGGACAGCACAGAGCAAUGCACCGGUUAAGCGCCGGGUCUGCAGUUAGCUGUACAUGCAGCUCCUGCGGAACAGACAGUGCCACAGAAAAUAACUGCCCUGCACAGGUUCCCUGUGCAAGGUCAAGGUGAAAACGUGGGGUAAGAGCCCACGGCGUUGCAGGGCAACCUGCAGCGGGGGUAAACCUUGCAUGCUGAAAUGCCAUGUAUACCAGUCCAUGAAGUU
Molecule: RNase P RNA, 257 nt
Filed under: Pseudobacter ginsenosidimutans
Lineage: Bacteria; Pseudomonadati; Bacteroidota; Chitinophagia; Chitinophagales; Chitinophagaceae
Description: Bacterial RNase P class A
Rfam family: Bacterial RNase P class A
About the family: Ribonuclease P (RNase P) is a ubiquitous endoribonuclease, found in archaea, bacteria and eukarya as well as chloroplasts and mitochondria.
Source: RNAcentral